AACGAACGCUGGCGGCGCGUUUUAAGCAUGCAAGUCGAACGGCAAGAGAGGUAGCAAUACUUCUCCUAGAGUGGCGAACGGGUGAGUAAGACGUAGGUGAUCUACCCCUGGAUGGGGGAUAUCCGUGGAAACACGGGGUAAUACCGCAUAAGGCCUUGAGGGUGAAGCCUUGAGGUGAAAGCUCCAAUUGGAGCGUCUGGGGAUGAGCCUGCGGCCCAUUAGGCAGUUGGCGGGGUAAUGGCCCACCAAACCGACGAUGGGUAGCCGGCCUGAGAGGGUGUACGGCCACACUGGAACUGAGACACGGUCCAGACUCCUACGGGAGGCUG
Molecule: ribosomal RNA, 329 nt
Filed under: uncultured Spirochaetota bacterium
Lineage: Bacteria; Pseudomonadati; Spirochaetota
Description: bacterial SSU rRNA
Rfam family: Bacterial small subunit ribosomal RNA
Source: RNAcentral